AACGAACGCUGGCGGCAUGCCUAACACAUGCAAGUCGAACGAGACCUUCGGGUCUAGUGGCGCACGGGUGCGUAACGCGUGGGAACCUGCCCUUAGGUUCGGAAUAACUCCCCGAAAGGGGUGCUAAUACCGGAUAAUGUCUUCGGACCAAAGAUUUAUCGCCUUUGGAUGGGCACGCGUUGGAUUAGCUAGUUGGUAGGGUAAAAGCCUACCAAGGCGACGAUACAUAGCUGGUCUGAGAGGAUGAUCAGCCACACUGGGACUGAGACACGGCCCAGAAUCCUACGGGAGGCAGCAGAGGGGAAUAUAGGACAAUGGGCGAAAGCCUGAUCCAGCAAUGCCGCGUGAGUGAUGAAGGCCUUAGGGUUGUAAAGCUCUUUUACCCGGGAUGAUAAUGACAGUACCGGGAGAAUAAGCUCCGGCUAACUCCGUG
Molecule: ribosomal RNA, 433 nt
Filed under: uncultured bacterium
Lineage: Bacteria
Description: partial 16S ribosomal RNA
Rfam family: Bacterial small subunit ribosomal RNA
Source: RNAcentral